Ovis aries (sheep) is the source of this 72-nucleotide transfer RNA. It matches the Rfam family "tRNA". From Rfam's summary of the family: Transfer RNA (tRNA) molecules are approximately 80 nucleotides in length. Their secondary structure includes four short double-helical elements and three loops (D, anti-codon, and T loops). Further hydrogen bonds mediate the characteristic L-shaped molecular structure. tRNAs have two regions of fundamental functional importance: the anti-codon, which is responsible for specific mRNA codon recognition, and the 3' end, to which the tRNAs corresponding amino acid is attached (by aminoacyl-tRNA synthetases). tRNAs cope with the degeneracy of the genetic code in two manners: having more than one tRNA (with a specific anti-codon) for a particular amino acid; and 'wobble' base-pairing, i.e. permitting non-standard base-pairing at the 3rd anti-codon position. The record is from Rfam. NCBI's taxonomy places the organism in Eukaryota, Metazoa, Chordata, Mammalia, Artiodactyla, Bovidae.
UCCCUGGUGGCUCAGAGGUUAAAGCGUCUGCCUCCAACGCAGGAGACCCGGGUUUGAUCCCUGGGUCGGGAU